AGACCGUAGACACGGUAGUGCCGGUGGAGGAUCCGGCGCGGGUGGGGCUACAUCCGGACGAGAGGAAGGAGCUGGUGCGACGUGUAGUUCAUCGGAGGAAUGCGGCAUCGGCGGUCAGGCCAUGGAAGGGACCGAUUCCGAAGGUGUGUCUUCCUAAACCUGUUCUUUCCGAUUUCAUCACUCACAAUUCAUGGAAGAUAGUAAGGAGAAAGAAGGCUCGGCGGUCGUCGGCGGCCACGGUGCCGGCGCCGGCGAUCGACCGAUGCGCUCAGAUCCGCGAUCAUAGGAUCGCUCGUUUGAACGGAUUGCUGGGCUGUGAGUUCGGUCAGCUGGUGGGUGGGCCGGUUCUGAGUGAACCGGCCAAUGUUGACGUUGGGUUACAGACCGAUGGGUAUGAGGCCCAGCCUGUUAUGCAGCCCAAGUCUACAACCCCAUGCACGAGAUCGUUUCGACAUAGGGUUCGACACAGAGGCGGACGUCCUUGUUUUCUCGAUCGCGGCGGAGGGAGGGCUGCUCGUAUACCUACCCUUCGUCUGAUGGCGGGACGGGGGUCUCUUCCG
RNAcentral lists this ribosomal RNA (560 nucleotides) under Triticum aestivum (bread wheat). RNAcentral's name for it is "partial small subunit ribosomal RNA". Lineage: Eukaryota; Viridiplantae; Streptophyta; Magnoliopsida; Poales; Poaceae. The record is from RNAcentral.